AUCAAUAAACUAUCAGAGUAAUUCAAUAAACUAUCAGAAUCUUAGUUAUUAAUUAUAUAGUUCUUAUCUAUUCAAAUAUCUAUUCAAAGUCGAUAGGAAUUGAAUAUAGAAAAUAAUAACAUUUCAAAUCAAUAAUCAAUAUUGAAUAUUCUAAUUAUAGAACACAACGAUUAAUAGAGCGAUAUCGAUAUAUAAUUUCGAUUUUUUUAUCACUAAUAUAAUUCGAAUAUUAUUAAAUUGGAUAUAUCUUUUAUUAUUUUUAAUUUUUUUUUUAAUAUUAUUUAUAUUAAAUAUUACUAUUUUUUGCUAUUAUUAUAUUUAUUCUUUUUAUAUUAAAAUAUUAUUUUUGAGUUUUAGAUAAUUAAAGUUUUCCUUUUUGAAUUCAAAUGACUUUUGAACUUAUUUUUAUUGUAUUAUUUUAUUUGAUUGUAGAUCAUCUAUUUUAUUUCCAAUUACUAAUGGUUAGUUAGAACCAAUGAGACAUGACCCACUUUCAGUCAUAAAGAGAUAAGUAGGAAAGUAGGAAAUUAAGAUGACAAAAAGAGAAUCGACCCUUCAAGUAUUCAAAAUGACAUCGAAAAUGUGACAGGCGGAUAUAUCUACCUAGGAUAUAUAUCCAUCUAUGUUGAAUUCCAGAUACAGAAAUGGUACAAUCAUAAUCGAUUUGAACCAAAUCCAAAUAAGGUUCUCCUAUAAAUAAAAAAAAAAUGAAGAAGGUAGGUAAGAGAUAAAAGAAAACACUUUUUCGAGAUAGGAAUCCGGUAUCUAAUGAAUUCAACGAUUCCAGUAUAAAUGAAAGAAAAAAGAAACGACAUCACAAUUCAUUCGAUCGACUUAAUUAGAUUGGGCCUUGGUAUGGAAACCCGCCGAGUGAGAACUUUCAAAUUCAGAGAAACCCCGGAAUUAAUAAAAAGGGCAAUCCUGAGCCAAAUCCUCUUUUCUGAAAACAAAGGUUCAGAAAAUAAAAAAGGGGAUAGGUGCAGAGACUCAAUGGAAGCUGUUCUAACAAAUGGAGUUGGCUGCGGUAGUGGAGAAGUCUUUCCAUCAAAAAUUAAGUAAGUAUUUCAGUACGUAUAUAAGUAUUAAAAAUCGGGUGAAGUGAAGGAGAAACGUAUAUACAUACGUAGUGAAUAAUAUAUUCCAUUAUUAAAAUUCCAUUAUUAAAUGAGUAAUGAUAGCCCGAAUCAAUCUAUUGUUUUUUAUAAAAAAACUUUUAUAAAAAAACAAAGAAUUGGUGUGAAUAGAUUCUACGUUGAAGAAAGAAUCGAAUAUUCAUUGAUCAAAUGAUUCACUCCAUAGUCUGAUAAAUCUUUUCAAGAACUUAUUAAUCGGACGAGAAUAAAGAUAGAGUCCCAUUCUACAUGUCAAUGACGGCAGCAAUGAAAUUUAUAGUUAAGAGGAAAAUCCGUCGACUUUUAAAAUCGUGAGGGUUCAAGCCCCUCUAUCCCCAACUAAACUAUUUGACUCUCCAACUAUCUAUUAUCUAUUUCUUUUCUCUUUUGGUUAUCGCCCUUUCCAUUCACUCUAUUCUCUUAGAAUUGAUCGGUGCGGAAAUGUCCUUUUCCUUUUUCCUUUUCUUAUCACAUCACAAUCACAUCUAGAUGAUAUACAUACAAAUGAGAAAGAAAUACCCAUUUGAAUGAUUUACAAUUUAUAUAAUUAUAUAAUUACUAAUACGGAAACUCCCAAAGCCCUCUUUGUUAAGAUCCAAGCCAAGCAAUUUCAGUACCUAAAUCAGUACCUAAAUAUAAAUAAAACUUGGACUUGGCAAUUCCCUUUCCUUCUUUUAAUUGACACAGCCCCCAUUUUCGAGUAAAAUGAGGAUGUUACAGUUACAUUGGGACUGGUCGGGAUAGCUCAGCUGGUAGAGCAGAGGACUGAAAAUC
This 1886-nucleotide precursor RNA is filed under the name Gaertnera sp. Bremer et al. 4008. RNAcentral describes it as "partial transfer RNA-Thr". The stretch from base 827 to 1374 matches the Rfam family "Group I catalytic intron". Lineage: Eukaryota; Viridiplantae; Streptophyta; Magnoliopsida; Gentianales; Rubiaceae. The record is from RNAcentral.